RNAcentral lists this ribosomal RNA (450 nucleotides) under uncultured bacterium. RNAcentral describes it as "partial 16S ribosomal RNA". It matches the Rfam family "Bacterial small subunit ribosomal RNA", at positions 354 to 796 of the family's 1533-position model. The record is from RNAcentral.
GUGGGGAAUAUUGGACAAUGGGCGCAAGCCUGAUCCAGCAAUGCCGCGUGCAGGAAGAAGGCCUUCGGGUUGUAAACUGCUUUUGUACAGAACGAAACGGUCCGGGUUAAUACCCUGGGCUAAUGACAGUACCGUAAGAAUAAGCACCGGCUAACUACGUGCCAGCAGCCGCGGUAAUACGUAGGGUGCAAGCGUUAAUCGGAAUUACUGGGCGUAAAGCGUGCGCAGGCGGUUUUGUAAGACAGGCGUGAAAUCCCCGGGCUCAACCUGGGAAUUGCGCUUGUGACUGCAAGGCUGGAGUGCGGCAGAGGGGGAUGGAAUUCCGCGUGUAGCAGUGAAAUGCGUAGAUAUGCGGAGGAACACCGAUGGCGAAGGCAAUCCCCUGGGCCUGCACUGACGCUCAUGCACGAAAGCGUGGGGAGCAAACAGGAUUAGAAACCCUGGUAGUCC